UGGGGAAUAUUGCACAAUGGAGGAAACUCUGAUGCAGCGACGCCGCGUGAGCGAAGAAGUAUUUCGGUAUGUAAAGCUCCGUCAGCAGGGAAGAUAAUGACGGUACCUGACCAAGAAGCCCCGGCUAACUACGUGCCAGCAGCCGCGGUAAUACGUAGGGGGCAAGCGUUAUCCGGAUUUACUGGGUGUAAAGGGAGUGUAGGUGGCUGCGCAAGUCAGGAGUGAAAGCCCGGGGCUCAACCCCGGGACUGCUCUUGAAACUGCGCGGCUUGAGUGCAGGAGGGGCAGGCGGAAUUCCUAGUGUAGCGGUGAAAUGCGUAGAUAUUAGGAGGAACACCGGUGGCGAAGGCGGCCUGCUGGACUGUAACUGACACUGAGGCUCGAAAGCGUGGGGAGCAAACAGGGAUUAGAUACCCUGGUAGU
This 423-nucleotide ribosomal RNA is filed under the name uncultured Lachnospiraceae bacterium. RNAcentral's name for it is "bacterial SSU rRNA". It matches the Rfam family "Bacterial small subunit ribosomal RNA", at positions 355 to 794 of the family's 1533-position model. Lineage: Bacteria; Bacillati; Bacillota; Clostridia; Lachnospirales; Lachnospiraceae. The record is from RNAcentral.